AUGAGGCGCUAUUUUUUGGAGAAUCCCACAUACCCUGAGUCGUACUUUCGUCGCCGGUUUAGGAUGAGCACCGAGUUGUUCAGGCGCAUUGCAGAGAAACUAGCGAGCCCUGACCGGUAUUUUUAGUAGAGGAGGAAUGCCGCCGGAGAGCUCGGGCAUAGCACCUUUCAGAAGGUGACAGCCCUUUUGCGUAUGUUGGCAUACGGUUUUCCGGCAAUCUAG
Molecule: ribosomal RNA, 222 nt
Filed under: Triticum aestivum (bread wheat)
Lineage: Eukaryota; Viridiplantae; Streptophyta; Magnoliopsida; Poales; Poaceae
Description: partial small subunit ribosomal RNA
Source: RNAcentral